AACACCACAACCAGUGGUACUGCCNNUCUGGCCCAAUCAUGUUGUAUCCUGNANGGCAUUCGUGUCGGCUGGGUGUGAUCACAGGCAUUCUCGGUGGACGGUGAGCUUCGGUUCAUGUUAUCGGUCACUGGUUGUCAACGGGUCUGUUUGUCGGUGCUUUUGUAGUGCCUGAUGGAUGGCCUGGUGGACUGUGUUGGUAUGAAAAACUGUGCAGGGCACUGGAUGUAACGGCCUCGAAUCCGGGUUGGCACGCACACUACAAGUGCAGCAUGGUGGCGUUAAUGCGGCCUGUCGUUGGUUGGGUCUGAUUGUCGUGUUGCCUGCGGAAAGUGGGUUCGGCAGUGGCCUGGUGACGGUCGGUGUUGUUUUUAGCGCUAUCGUGUGUCAGCCGGUGUUGGUCUUAUAGUCUGUGGUGUAGUG
RNAcentral lists this ribosomal RNA (420 nucleotides) under Eutetrarhynchus pacificus. Its description in RNAcentral is "partial large subunit ribosomal RNA". The record is from RNAcentral. Lineage: Eukaryota; Metazoa; Platyhelminthes; Cestoda; Trypanorhyncha; Eutetrarhynchidae.